UACGUAGGGUGCAAGCGUUGUCCGGAAUUAUUGGGCGUAAAGGGCUCGUAGGUGGCCAACUAAGUCAGACGUGAAAUCCCUCAGCUUAACUGGGGAACUGCGUCUGAUACUGGAUGGCUUGAGUUUGGGAGAGGGAUGCGGAAUUCCUGGUGUAGCGGUGAAAUGCGCAGAUAUCAGGAGGAACACCGGUGGCGAAGGCGGCGUUCUGGACUGCAACUGACACUGAUGAACGAAAGCCAGGGGAGCAAACGGG
Molecule: ribosomal RNA, 253 nt
Filed under: uncultured bacterium
Lineage: Bacteria
Description: partial 16S ribosomal RNA
Rfam family: Bacterial small subunit ribosomal RNA
Source: RNAcentral